Molecule: ribosomal RNA, 277 nt
Filed under: uncultured bacterium
Lineage: Bacteria
Description: partial 16S ribosomal RNA
Rfam family: Bacterial small subunit ribosomal RNA
Source: RNAcentral
AAUCAACGCUGGCGGCGUGCCUAACACAUGCAAGUCGAACGCGAAAGGGGCUUCGGCCCUGAGUAGAGUGGCAAACGGGUGAGUAACACGUGGGUGACCUACCUUCAAGUGGGGGAGUAACGUUACCGAAGGAACGACUAAUACCGCAUAUUGUCCGUCUUUAGUACAGACGACGAUGAAAGACCGGGGAGUCGCAAGACCUGGCGCUAGGAGGAGGGGCCCGGCCGUCCGAUUAGCUAGUUGGUGAGGAACGGCUCACCAAGGCGACGAUCGGUAG